AUGGAGGAGUACAACCGAUACGUGAGGAUCGCAAACGGCGACCCUGUGAAGCUAGCUAGGAUGUUGGAGAUACAGUCUUGGUUUGACAACAAGGACCAACUAGCGGCGACGGCGACAUCCAUGGCCAAAUAUCUGCAACAGAGCGAAAAGGCGGCGAUACUCCUGGAGGGAGUCGCGCCGGAGUACAUAGAGCUGCUCCUCUGGGCCAUGGAGCAAACAGAUUCAUCGAAUCCGAUCAUGAGGGAGCGGUGAAGGAAAACACACGGUUCUGCUAGAUAUGUUGGAAGUGCUGCUCCAGGAUUAGGGUUCUACCACAUAGACCCACCUGAUGAAAAUGCUCAGUAUCAUGGCUCCCUGAAGAAUGUGAGGAUUGUUCUGGUAGAAGCUGGUGAAGUGACCAAGCAGGAACUUGCCACUGAGUUUGCAGACAUUUACAAAACCAACUGGCCCUGGCCAAUCAAUGCCCUAGAUGAGUGGACAUUCUUGGUCAAACUCCCUCCUGAAAUAGAUGUAGUUCAAGUUGCUGGAUACCCUUGUUUUGGUCUCAAAGAAGACAAUGUUGUAGUCAGUGUUGAAGUCUGGAAAGGCAGGAUUGAGGCUGAAGAGGACCUCCAGGAAACUUGGAUCAAGAUAGGGAAAUUGAACCCCCAAGUGGUGGUCAAAAUCUUAUGUAAAGAUCCCUCCAAAAUCCCUGCUGAAAGGCUUUUUGGAGUUGGGAACAAAAUCUACAGGCUAUUCAUUGAGGUGGAGUCCUUAACCCCCACUGAAACUGGCACCUCCACCAACCUCUCUGCUGGUACAUAUGUCUCUGCAGCUGAAACUGGUACCAAUCUUACUGAAGAUGCUGAAUCCAACAGGAGCUCUAGAUCUAAAUCAGAUAAAGGGCCUGCUGCCAAUUUUGGGGCCCCUAACAUCAGAGGACAGUCUUUUGGCCACAAUCAGAUGCUUGGAGAAACUACACCCACUUUAGUCCUCAAGACACACCUCCCUGAUUCUCCAUACACUCCUCAACUCAGCAUCCAGGAAAAGAUUUUGAAUUAUGUGCUUGAUGAAACUAAUGGAUUCAACCUCCUCAGGGAAAUGGAGCUCCUGGAAGAUGAUGAUCUGAUGGAAUUAGAAGGUUCUGUAGAUCUACAAGAGGAUCAAGAGGCACUUGUUGAAACAACUGAACUCCUAGACAAUUUAGACUCAAAAUACAACUCCGACUUCCCUGCCCUUCCUAAGGAGAAGCACCUUCCCAAAUGGGGUCCUGUUCAAGCCACCAGAACCAGUGCCAAGGUAGUGGUGACAAGAGAACCAUUAUUGAAAAGGCUCAACAGCUCAAAGAGGUUCAGAACCUGGAAGUGA
Molecule: ribosomal RNA, 1347 nt
Filed under: Triticum aestivum (bread wheat)
Lineage: Eukaryota; Viridiplantae; Streptophyta; Magnoliopsida; Poales; Poaceae
Description: partial small subunit ribosomal RNA
Source: RNAcentral